AUAGUAGAAAUUAUAAUAAUAUUGGGAUUUGACCCCAAAAAUGACAGAUUUGUCCUUCUAAA
This 62-nucleotide transfer RNA is filed under the name Lychas mucronatus (Chinese swimming scorpion). Its description in RNAcentral is "tRNA-Gln". The record is from RNAcentral. Lineage: Eukaryota; Metazoa; Arthropoda; Arachnida; Scorpiones; Buthidae.